GUUUUUCCUUUUAUUACUUUCCAUAUCAUCUAGAAACUUUAGUCUUUAGUCCAUUGUUUAGGUGUUGCACCUGAAUAGAACAGCACUGAUUACUCCAAGGAGUGUGUUUUCUGAGUUUCUUUCUCAGUAAAGCACUGUUGGGCUGGUUAUUGGCUGAGGCUCUACUGCAGAGACUGGUUUCUGAGUUCGUACUGAUGUCUUGUGGAAUGGAGGGCUCCCAUACUUCAUUCUGUCUUCAGGAAACUCCUGAAUCUACAGAUAAAGGUAGCAUUCCUUCUCUAUAGCUGCUUGCUGAAUCUCUGCUGGAGAGAACUGCCACAGGAGCCCAGCUCCUACUGGCAGAUGAAUCUUCCUGCACUGGCCUUUGCCACGUUGAAAGCUUGUUUCUUUGUCUCUGCAGGCAUGUACAUGUGCUGGGAUAUGAUACAACAGCUGUUUUUGAGGGGACAGAUCUACCCUAUCUGUGGAAACCAAGGAAGGAUUGGUGUAUAUGGAUUAUGGCCAGGAAAGAAACAGGAUCCAGAACUGGUGUUUUAGAAGACAUAUAGAAGGACAAGCAUAUGGAUAAAUGCCACAGAAAUAUCUUCAAAAUAAUCCAGAAGCAAAACUCUUAUUGAAAAUGGGAGAUGUUAAGUACUGAUAACCUGUCCACAGUGAAUAGAAGAUGACCAGGAGUGGAAGAUCUCCCCGACUUUGAGUUCUCCUCCCAUCACCAGGAUGCUGCUGACCUGCUCUCUGCUCUGCACUCAACUCAGUGGUGGGACUUCCAGAGGCUGCCUUCACCAUUUCCUUCAAUUAUGUUCUCCAUAAAGCCCUACCUCAGCUCUCCCAGAGUCUCAGCUAUUCAAGUUACUCCAGGGGAACCUAUAACACAGAUGUAUGGGAACUGUUGAAUCACGGCCUGAACCUCUGAUUGACCACCUGAGGUAAGCACCGAGUCAGCCAUGGGAGCACAGGUGAAGGCAAUUUACCUGUGUGACUGGAAGGGGUGGAGCCUAGCUCCCUCCUAGACCCCAUUCAAGGGCUGACUACCACUGGGGAAGGAUCUUUCUCUGGAGAUUGUUCCUUUUGGAGUCUUUUUUGGCAAGCCCGGGGUGCAGCUGCUGAGGAUCUGGAUCCAGAAACGGAAGGGAAAAAGAAAUAGCUGAAGGAAAACAGUUUUCUUUUGAGAGCGUUCAGCAGAUUUUGCCACAAGUAAAACCAUCAGGAUGUGAGCUGAAACCUGUGUCAGUGUCCACAGUGUUUGAAUAGUCUGGUUUUAAUAGAAACAUGAAAACGCCAUAUGGAGCCAGACAACCAUUUCCUUCCUUCAGCGUGUUUGUCCAUGUUUAAGUGGAGCACAGCAACAUUUCUGUGACUUGCUUCUUGUUGGUGCAUUGGAGAGUUGAAGAAAUGGAGUAGCCUGGAUUGGUCCUUGAUAUGCAAUCACUUCAUGGAGUACUGUACACAGGACUAUGCACCAUUAGCCAAGCCUCCCAGUCAGCCAAAUGUGUGCCAGGGAAGGAAUUACGUCUUUUCAUUAGGAGGGUAACAGUAUGAAGGCAUUACAGGACACAGCGUUGAGUGCCACCAGUCUUGGAAUUGAACAGUCUGACAAAUGGUACAGCUGGGGACCAGACAUUCAGAGCAAUGCUUUCCUUCCAUCCUGGGAAACUACAGAUAUUUGCUUUGUUCCAGGUAUAUAUUGGACAUUUCUGAAUUUUAAGCACUGAACCAUUACUUAUUAGUUUAUCUUGCAAUCCUCUGUUUCAUGUCACAUAUCUGCUACAGAGAAUGUCAUUGAAAAGCUUAGACGCACUAUUCUGACUUAAAUUCCUGUUCUCUGGAGAGCAAGAUGUUGGUUUAUGAGCAGGAAUUGAGCAAUCCAAGCGCAUGAUGCUUGUAUUGCCAUAUUAAAUUGAAAGCAAGGAGCUGUAAGUAGGGCUGACAUUUCUGUCUGUCAGCCACACACAACAGAUAUGAACUGAGAGCAAACUGAAGGGAGGCAGAAAAGGGUGAAAAGGGCACCCUCCCAAAGCAGAAGGAAGCCAGAUGGAGUGACACCACAGAUAGAAAGAGAUUCAGUGUAUGGGACUGUGCAGUGGCUGUGUAGAAGGAAACAGAAAACGGAAGGAUCUGAGUAUGGAUGGAAAUGAGGAGAAAGAAAACAUAAUGAAGAGUAAUGGACAAGACAAAAAGAAAGAUUAUGCCUGAUACCAUGGAAGAGAUAUCCUGCUGUUGACAUCUGCUCAGCUCAGGAGGAGUCUCCCUCAGAAAGAUGUUGAAAUACUCUCAUUCAACACAUUUAAAAAUAGACUAAACAAACCCCAGUGAGCCAGACUCUCCUCCUCGUACACACACAGGGCCAUAACUCAUGCCUGCAGUUGUCCUUUGAAGCCUGGGAACCCUUGUAGAAUGAGAGGGGCUGAGCUGGAUGCAAGGCAGAAAUCUGGUCCUGGGUCCUGCACUGUCACAGAUAUGGAUCAGAUGAAUGACUGUCUCUUUUCAGGUCAGAAAUGCCAUACCAACACAUGGCUUCCUGCAAAGACAUGAACUCAAGGAAGGGACUUAAAGUACAGCAUGUGUCAAAGGGCUUUGCAGAAGCUGCAGGAGGGCUCCAUACAGCAAAACAGAGGAGCACUCACUUCCAUUCAAUCUCGGCAGAGCCCUGAUAAAUGCAUAAACAAACUUUUUUCCUUCUUACACAGUUCUGAGUGAUGACAGUAUCUCUACGAUCUUCAAGAGGAAGUAAUCAUUUGCUGAUAAACAUCUCCUCUCCAAAUGUACCUAGUAAAAAGACACAUUCUUUUGUAUAUAUUUAAUUACAGGAGAACAGAUUUUGUCCAAAUAAUUAGGUAAUUUAAACUAUGCAGUCUUUCCCAAAGAACUAUAUUUAACCUUCAUUUGAAUUUAAUUUCCACAUCACAGUGCCCCUUAAGCGGUUCUGUAAGUCAAAACAGUGAUCAAAUAUUUUUAAAAUGUCAAAUGUUGCUUAAUUGUGGAUAGCACUGAAUUUGUUUUAAGAGAUAACAGCUUUUGAUCUGCUGCUAUUUUUUGUCUGUCCUAUUGUCAUGUUUCUCUUCAUCAGAAGUUUCUGUCAACUGUUUAAUCCAUACAACACCCGACUUUCCAGACAGCUGAAGAUUUCAAAGAAGAAAUGUGGGGAACCCUUCAAAAGUUUCAUGAAGUAUUAAACAGGAUGUGGAUUAGUGUCUUGCUACUACAGACCCCAGCACUUGCAAGAGGAGGAAAAAAAAGCGUUUUAAAAAUUCAAGUAUUAUUAAGGGAUUAUAAUGUUUUUGCCUGAAUUAAGGGUAGUGCUGUAAAGAAUAAUUUUACAGCAUUAAUAUAAAUCAGCAGAACUUUAUUGGCUUUAAUACACCUAUUCUGAUUUGCACCACUCAUGAUCAGGCUCCUUAUAUCUAAAUGUAUCUUUUGCUCCAUGGAAGUAGAUCAUUUUUCUCCUGACUUGCUCUUUCCUAUUGUCUUGCCCCUGUAAAUUAUAUAUAUUAGGUUCAUAAGCAGUGUAGUGAAAGUAAACAGGAAGAGAGUCUCACAGUUUGAAUGAAUUAUAACAAAAACUACAGUAGGUCUGACCUACAUUAAGCUAGUUCAGUAGAACAAUCUACACACAAAGUGGCUUGUAUUUCAGGGUUGGCUCUAAGGUUGAUUCUCAGUUAAAAAAAAAAAAAAAAAGAAUGAUUCCAAAGAAUCACAAGUCUUAUCAGUCUCUUUGAAACAAACAAAAGCCAACAUACACUCCACAGCUCAGUUGUAAAAACAAUAGAGCAGGAAGACUUUCCUGUAACAGCAUCUCCCACUGGGCGAUAGCAGUUGAAAGUACUUACUAUGAUUAUGAUUAAUUUCAUUAGUGCUCAGUUCACUUUAAUACUUUUCUCCCUCUAUCUCUGAAUGCAGAUAAUUUUUCCCUGCAAGUAAAUCCAGGGUGACAGUUUAAUAGGCUCAGACAUGCUUAGAUCCGAAAUGAGACUGUAAUAUUAAUAUACUAUUGACCAGUUAUAGAUUAAGCAAACUGAGGGCACACUUAAGUAAAUGACUUCAGAGGGACAAGUUAAUGUGCUAAGUGGUUCACAGGCAAUGAUUAAAAAUAUUCUUCAUUUACUUGGAAAUUAAUAGGUUUCUUUAAUUAAUCUAAUAAAGCCACCCUGUGGUAUGUUACAUAUUUGGUGUAUGUUUUAAAAGAAGAUGCUGAGUUGCUGGAUCUGGAAAUCCCUGUUCUGCUUACUGAAGAAAGGAAACAGUCAUAUAUAAAAGCAGCCUUGCACAUGGCUAGAAUUUCCAACAAGCCAUCUUCUUUGCCACAAGUAGGAUUACAUUGCAUGACGGGUGUUAUGAAUCUCAAUGUUAAGCAAUCAACAGCACCAGCAAUUCCAUGUGUGAAUUGCAGAAUCAUCCAAGUAUCUUCAGGGAUUGUUAGUGUAUUUCACAACUGCAUCCAGUCAAAUGAGCACUUUUCUCCUCCAACAGUCUUUCAAAUCCAACUGGUCAACCAAUUGAAAGAAAACAACACAAUCUUUGCAACAACAGCAAUUUAUAUGCCGAGAAGUGCUAAAGCCUUGCAAAGGAUUACGGGGUAAGGAAAUGAUGAAAUCAUCUACAGGCAUUGCAUGAGUUUUAUUUAAUCAGAAGGUGCUCAGGUAGUAUGGUUAUCUGAAAUAUAAAUAGCCCAUCACCACCAGCUUUAUAAUGGAGAGAUGAGUUUAAAAGAUAGUGUCUCAUUAAUAGUCUUUCUGUGGUUUGUCUUGCAAGGGCACUGAGAGGCCUUGCCUGCUGAACAGUGUACAUGUAUCGGGAUGGGAUCAUACUGGCUCCCAGAGCCAGGGAUGAGAAGAGAUGUUUACCCAGCCCAACCGGAGUUCCUCCAGUGGACAGUGACACAAUUUGCAGAGUUAAGACAGGUCUACUCAACUGAGAGACUUCAUCAAAUCCUACUGUGAUUAUUUCUUCGGCAAAUCAAAACAGAGGCCUUGGUUAUUGUUCUGCCUCUUUGACCAGCAUCCUAUCAUGUGAUCACUCCCACUCUAAUGAAGUUUGAUCCGAGAGGGCUGCUACUGUGCUAUUCUGAAAAUCAGAAGCACUUUGAUAUGACCACUUCAAGGCCCAAAGAAACUACAAAAUGGGGACUAAAGUUUCCAUCUUCUCCAUCACCCCAUUUUUUUUCACCUUGCCCUAAUUACUGCAAAUAGGAUUCUUUCUCUUUGGUUUUACCAGAAGUUUUCUCAUCCAUAUAGUCCAACAGGAGAUGCUACUCUUGCUUCUCUUACCUAUUCCACAGCAAACCACAUGAACUAGACAUAGUGACUGUUUUCCCAGAACUCACUGGGGGGAAUCAUUACCAAAAAUGUCAGACUAUCACGUUUCUACUUCCCUGGCAGAAACUACUCUGUAUUUAGUGACCUGGCAGCCAUGAGGAGUGUCUGAUGGAGUACAGUACACAGUAGCUAUAAGAGUCAAAGAAGAGGAGGAGAAAAGGAUGUUUGACUUGGGACUCCAUGUUAAAAGCUCCUGCAGAACCAGUCCUUAGCUAUUGUUUACAGCUGGCUGUCUUGCCUCAGGAACAUUUGCAUUGAAAAACUUUCAGAGUUUUCUUUCCAAGUAAGCUGAGAAAAACAACUUGGAUUCAUUCCAUUUAUCAUGGAUGUGGAUGUAUGUGUGUGUGUUUUCAUGGUAGGUGGGAAAGGGAGGAGAUGGAAAUCCUUUCAACUUGCUGACACAUUCUCCAGUGGAUGGAAGUGGUGCUUGAAAUCCAUGGAGCCAGGUUGGGUUCCAACUGCCAAGAACCUGGUCUAGGCAGCUAUAAUGUUGUGCAGAGCUGUGGUUUGAAGAAACCUGAACAUGGCCAUACAGACAGAAAAGAUGAAAGAGGGAUUUGGUAGCCAGUCCUGUUUCUUUCAUGUGUGAAGGACAGCUGUGCAGCUGCAAGGAGUGAUGCUGGCAAACUCAUCGGAUAUGUACAUUUUCUCUCUUUUGUGGGUUGGAUCAUAACAAUUAACUUCUCUGAAUGUUUGUGGUGAGUCUAAUCUCAGGCGUGUCUGCUCCUUUGCAUUUGCAGCUGAGGGUGGCAAAUAAAAUGGCUAAGCAUUGCUGUGGGCUAUUUUGUCACCAAGCCUGGAAUGAGGCAUCCUGCGAGAGACCUGGAAAAACCAUGCUUCUGAAGUAGACCACAGGUAGACAGGGCUUGCUGCAGGCAAGCUUUGUGAAUUUGUCUUCCCUCUUGGAGAAAGAAGAAGAAAAAAGAGAAAAAACAGAGUAUCUUGUUUCCUUCAUGCCUGAAAUAAGCUGAAACGGGGAGCUUUGCAUUCCUGUGUUUACAAAUGUAGAGGUGAAAAGAGAUUUCAUUAAUGUCAGCUUGGUAGUGAUUCUUUAAGGCUUUUACCUCAAAUGGUCACCUCCUGGAUGCAUUGGGGGUGCGAGGCAUCACUUAAUUGCAGGAGACAUGGAAGUCCAUAAAUCAAUGGCAUGCAAAGGAUAGAUGAAGGGGAGGUAAAUCUUAAUGCAAGGAUGAGGGAAAAAAUGAUAAUGUGAAAACUGCAUUGAAUACCAUCUCUUAUUCUUUGUCAUCUCAUUCACCUCCCUGAAAAGCGAUGGUGGUGUAAUAGGUAAGAGGCGACACUUUGGGUUUUAUUCAGAGGUCUUCUACUAACUUGUGCUACUAACUUCAACACAUCUCUUUGCCUUGCAGCAUAUUUCCAUGGAAUUAGUAUCUCAGUGAGAUGGAGACCUGCCUUUUCAUUUAGAAAUUAAUCUAGCAUAAUUUCAAUUAUAGCUACUCUUAGUUGCAUUGCACAUCUUAGAAUAAAUAUUCUUCUUUAGAGUUAUCACACCAGUUGUGAUUGCCUUACAAAUGAAGUAUGCAGACAAUGAAAGAAUUCUCUGCAAUUUAUUUCUGGUGAUGAUUUGGCCCAGACCAUAAAAACCAUAACCCUUUUUCUAAUUUGGCCAGAAGGAUAAGAUGUUGCUUCUCUGCGUCCAUCUGACAUGGGAGGUGACUCAGUUCCUCACUAGCUCAGGAAUCCAGGCUUUACUAAUGCCUGGGAUUUGAUUAUGCUCACAUGGCUAGUUUCUGAGAGGAGCUGGUAAACUUCGUUUUGCUUCAGUUAUUAGUUUUUAAGGCUAUGAAAGGUCAAGAUAAACCAUCCAUAAAUGCGGCACCGAUUAAAACCUCACUUAGCUUAUUGCACAGUAUGUAAUUGUUCAUCCUAUGUCAAAUAAUAAAAUCUGAUGGAGAUAACUGCCUAGCAUUUCCUUUCAUUUAAAGGAACAGGCACGCACUGCAUGUACUGUUACCUACACGCACAUCAGUGAUGUUUCUUUUUAUAUGUAGCUGUGUAUUAAAUAAGGGAAUAUUUGAACAUGAAUGCUUUAGUGGACUAAAACUAACUUUUAACUUUUAACUGCUAACUUUUCCCGUAGAAAAAAAGGUUAGGUAUUCCUAACUCGUGAGGAGGAAAUAGAAGGAUGAAUGUAAUAUUAGUCUGUCUGAGAGUUAUGUCCUUAAAAGAUGGCUGAUGCCUUUGUGGCUUAUGGGUUCUCCUAUUUGUGCGUAAAGUUGAGAAAUGUCAUCCAAGCAUUUAGAGCUCCCAUUUUCCUAAGAGCUCAGCCUUCAAUUACCGCCAAAAAGUAGAAGCCAAUUUUCCAAAAAGCUCCAUAUACUGAGUGCUUCUGACAUAAUGUUGGCUUGAAAAUGUGCCUAUGAUAAUCAUGUUAGGAGCUAUGCUGAAUGGCUUCAGAAAAGCUGGGUGAGCCCUGAGCAUCCUGAGCUGUUAAAAGUCUGCCCCUGCCUUAUUCCUGUGAUAUUCCCUCUGCAGUAGUGUCACUACUUUAUGGAUCAUUGUCUCGCUUAUAACCCUUUGUACUUGCAGUAUGCUGCACUAUAUUUGCUAUCCAAAUGCCCUCUGGCAUUGCCAUUGCUGCCCCAGUUAAACAAGAAUCUGGCUUCCCCAGGCCUUGUAUCACUAUAUAGAUCAUCGCAGUCAUAAUAUCUCUCUGCCUUUUGUGUUUUUAGCAAGACUGUCUGCAAAUGCAGAAUCUAAACGCUGCCAAAAGAAAUCUGCCUCUUUUUGUUCCCCAGACUCCUGACUUAGUCUACCACUCUGCCAAAGCUAGUUACUAGUGUGGCAGCUGAUAAAUAAAGAACAGGCUGCCUCUCUCUCCGCACUGCAAGUACCCUGUAGCUGUUAAUGUAUCCCGUGCUGCUCUUUUUUAAUAAGCUGUCUGAAUAGCCAGCUGCUAAUGUGGCUGCGACAGUGUGCCCACCUUUUAAAAGUUCAUUCCUACUUCUUGCUUCAAAGCAGCUACAUCUGCUGACAGAAAAACACAGGACAGGGAACUAGGGAAAGAAGUCAAGAGAGAAACUGCUGCAUUUCCAAGGGGGCUCUUGGACAAACUUCUAAUCUUACUGAGGGCUGGGGCAGAACAAUAAAUGUCAAACCCCACUACAUGAUCCUAGGAAGACUUGCAGGGCAGGGGAGUUUCAGGGCUAAUAUGUGAUCUGGUUUGCUUUAAGCAAGUAUCCUUCUCAUGGUGUACCACCUUUUAUUCAGACUUCCCAUGAAGGAGUAUGCUUUACACCAUGUAUGUAAUGAUCUUUGGAGUAGUCAGGAGGAAGAGUCUUUCUAGAGUCUCUCUCAAACCUAGCAAACCAGAAGAUCUCUACCUACGUAGCUUGGAAACUUACAUACCCUAAAAGAGUGUGAAUGUCCUUGCAAAAUCUUUUAUAGUAA
This 8723-nucleotide long non-coding RNA is filed under the name Gallus gallus (chicken). Lineage: Eukaryota; Metazoa; Chordata; Aves; Galliformes; Phasianidae. The record is from RNAcentral.